This 468-nucleotide ribosomal RNA is filed under the name uncultured bacterium. RNAcentral's name for it is "partial 16S ribosomal RNA". It matches the Rfam family "Bacterial small subunit ribosomal RNA", at positions 28 to 507 of the family's 1533-position model. The record is from RNAcentral.
GACGAACGCUGGCGGCGUGCUUAACACAUGCAAGUCGAACGGAAAGGCCCUGCUUUUGUGGGGUGCUCGAGUGGCGAACGGGUGAGUAACACGUGAGUAACCUGCCCUUGACUUUGGGAUAACUUCAGGAAACUGGGGCUAAUACCGGAUAGGAGCUCCUACUGCAUGGUGGGGGUUGGAAAGUUUCGGCGGCUGGGGAUGGACUCGCGGCUUAUCAGCUUGUUGGUGGGGUAGUGGCUUACCAAGGCUUUGACGGGUAGCCGGCCUGAGAGGGUGACCGGCCACAUUGGGACUGAGAUACGGCCCAGACUCCUACGGGAGGCAGCAGUGGGGAAUAUUGCACAAUGGGCGGAAGCCUGAUGCAGCAACGCCGCGUGCGGGAUGACGGCCUUCGGGUUGUAAACCGCUUUCGCCUGUGACGAAGCGUGAGUGACGGUAAUGGGUAAAGAAGCACCGGCUAACUACGUG